CGGAUAGAAGCUCUCUGGAUUGAGUGGCUAGCUGUUAAUUAGUUGAUUGCGGGAUCGAGGCCCGUCUAUCCAG
This 73-nucleotide transfer RNA is filed under the name Varanus nebulosus (Clouded monitor). RNAcentral describes it as "tRNA-Asn". The record is from RNAcentral. Lineage: Eukaryota; Metazoa; Chordata; Lepidosauria; Squamata; Varanidae.